This is a long non-coding RNA of Pipistrellus kuhlii (Kuhl's pipistrelle), 1541 nucleotides long. RefSeq lists it as uncharacterized. The record is from RefSeq and is a predicted model, not a curated record. The transcript is spliced from 3 exons. NCBI's taxonomy places the organism in Eukaryota, Metazoa, Chordata, Mammalia, Chiroptera, Vespertilionidae.
GGAACCCCUCAGUCGGGGGCAGUCUGGGACAGUAGUCACCUGGCCUGGAAUACUGAAUUUCGUAUCAGUCCUUCCUUCGGCCGUCUCAGGAAAAGUGUGUUCACAGAAGACUGACUUCUAUGUACACGCCAGCAUCUCCUGGCACGUCAAUGCCUACGAGCUCCUGUGAAAUGCUUCACACGGCGCUCCGGAUGCAGUGUGCUCGGUAAGGCUGGUGUCUGAGGGAGAGGCGAGAGAGGGUGUGCCGUUCAUGACAGCAUGAAAGAGAAAACGCGUUAGUGGGAAGGAUCCGCUGUUCUGUCCCUCUGUGCCUUUGUGACUCGUACUUCCUAAAGCCGCGACAGCAGAGCAGAAAUGAGGAAGCACCCUCUGAAAUCAAUAAAAAUGUUUAAAGAAAAAAGAAAAAGAAAUGAGGAAGCAGCUGAGGGAGCGCCUGGCCAGCAGUCACGUCCACAGCGGGCUCAUGCAGCUAGAACCCUGUGACCAGGGCAGUGACACCUGGGAGCGUCACUAGGAGACGUUUGUUAUUCCAGCCGAGGGCACUCGGCGUGGACUCGGGACUGCCGUGCCGGUGGGAAGCUAAAGAUGUCAAGUGAGGCGACCUGAGAACCAGCAGCUUCAGGAAAUGUCAAGUUCCUCUUGAGACAAAUGUUUUGCAAAGAAUUCCAUCUCGGGUGGAAAUGUGAGCCAAAGGAGCAUUCCCGAGGCCCUCACUGGGUCUGGUGAGGCGUGCCCACACUGGGUGUGAGAGCAGCCCUCCUUCCCUGGCAGCCUCCCUCCUCCCCAUCCCCACCCUGAGCCAUUCCUGGUCCCCUGGCCAGGCACCCUGCGGGCUUCCGCUGCUACUCCAGGCUGGCUUCUUCCUAACCAUCAUCUUCACGAGUCUUGUUGUUUAAAAGGAAAAGAACCAGGAGGGCCCAGCUGGUGCAGCUUACUUGGUUGGGCUUCAUGCGCCCACAGGUUGCCGCCCAUUCUAUUCCGGGUCAGGGCACAUGCGGGGCUGCAGGCUUGAUCCCCAGUAGGGGGCGUGCGGGAGGCAGCUGGUGGAUGUUUGGCUCUCACACUGAUGUUUCUCUCCCUCUCCUCUCUCUCUCUAGAAGUCAGUUAAAAAAAAAAAAAAAAGAAUUGUGAGGAAAAUCUCCUUGGAUUCUAGUCCUGGCUCUGAAACUACGUGCAUGUAUGACCUUAGGCUUUUAAAAAUGUUUUUAAAAAACAAAGGUAACCGUCGGUUGCUGAGCAGAUAAACAAAAUGCGGUCUGUCCACAAAGUGGAGUAUCAUUCAGCUAUCACAAUGAAUGAAGCCGGCAGGAGUGGGCCUGGGAAAAGGGAGAUUGGAUUCGGGACCCCGAUUUCUCCUUGGCAUUCCACGUGAACAGCUACACAAAUGGAGUCCUAACGCCUGAGACCACGGGCUGGGGGAGCCCCGCUGGAAACACGCCCCGUUGGGACAGCUGCCCUCUGCCAGGUCCCCCGGGACACGGAGGGGACACGCCGUCCCUUUAAGAAACCGCGGCCUCCGGAACCUCGCAGCCCGCCGGAGC